Molecule: RNA transcript, 4497 nt
Organism: Symphalangus syndactylus (siamang)
Lineage: Eukaryota; Metazoa; Chordata; Mammalia; Primates; Hylobatidae
Gene: MXRA7
Gene name: matrix remodeling associated 7
Source: RefSeq, a predicted model, not a curated record
CCCUGGGGCGGGGCGCGGCGACGGGGCGCGGCGGGCUCCCUCGGGGUCCCAGCUGGCCGGCACUCGGCGGCCGCGGCGCGAUGGAGGCGCCGGCCGAGCUACUGGCCGCGCUGCCUGCGCUGGCCACCGCGCUAGCCCUUCUGCUCGCCUGGCUGCUGGUGCGGCGUGGGGCGGCCGCGAGCCCGGAGCCUGCCCGCGCGCCCCCGGAACCUGCGCCCCCGGCCGAGGCCACUGGGGCCCCGGCUCCGUCCCGCCCCUGCGCCCCCGAGCCGGCGGCCGCGCCCGCGGGGCCGGAGGAACCUGGAGAGCCCGCGGGGCUGGGGGAGCCCGGGGAGCCUGCGGGACCGGGGGAGCCCGAAGGGCCAGGGGAUCCCGCGGCGGCGCCAGCGGAGGCGGAGGAGCAGGCGGCGGAGGCGAGGCAGGAAGAGGAGCAGGGCUUGGAUGGUGAGAAGGGGCCAUCGUCGGAAGGGCCUGAGGAGGAGGACGGAGAAGGCUUCUCCUUCAAAUACAGCCCCGGGAAGCUGAGGGGAAACCAGUACAAAAAGAUGAUGACCAAAGACGAGCUGCAGGAGGAGCAGAGAGUUCAGAAGGAACAGCUGGCUGCCAUCUUCAAGCUCAUGAAAGACAACAAGGAGACGUUUGGCGAGAUGUCCGACGGCGACGUGCAGGAGCAGCUCCGGCUCUACGACAUGUAGACUGCACCCACGGGAUGCACAGCGGCCAUGCCUGACGCUGUCCCCACCCUUGCCCCAUGCCCUUGUUCUUUCCAGACUUCUGUAGGCCUAAUUUUCCCUUAUAAACAUAGAUGCAGGCGUACAGUCUAUACGUACUUGCCGAGUUCUUGCAAUGUGUAUAUUACUUUGCAAGAAUCAAAAUUGUUUUAUUCGGAGGACAGAGUCCCUGACCCCUCUGGUUUCUGCUUGCUGGUGAGGUUCCAGCUGUUAUCGGGCUCUGAGGCCCUCUCCUGAUCCAAAUUUUUGUUUGUUUGUUUGUUUGUUUGAGAUGGAGUCUCACUCUGUCUCCCAGGCUGGAGUGCAGUAGCGUGAUCUUGGCGCACUGCAACCUCCACCUCCCAGAUUCAAGCGACUCUCCUGCCUCAGCCUCCCGAGUAGGUGGGAUUGCAGGCAUGCACCAUCACACCUGGCUAAUUUUGUAUUUUUAGUAGAGACAGGGUUUUGCCAUGUUGGCCAGGCUGGUCUCGAACUCCUGACCUCAGGUGAUCCGCCCACCUUGGCCUCCCAAAGUGCUAGGAUUACAGGCGUGAGCCACUGUGCCCAGCCCAUACUACACUCUUAUUUUGCCUUACGAGGAUUUCUGGAAGCUUCUGUAACUGUAGGGAAGCAAGCUGUAGGGGAGCAUUCUUGGUUUUUUUGUUUUGUCUUGUUUUGUUUUUGUUUUUGUUUUGAGACAAGGUCUCACUCUGUCACCCAGGCUGGAGUGCAGUGGUGCCAUCAUGACUCUGCAGCCUUGACCUCCCAGGCCCACAAAAUCCUCCUGCCUCAGCCUGAGUAACUGGGACUACAGGUGUGUACCACUACAUCCAGCUAGAGGAGAGCGUUUUUUUCUUUUUUUUUUUUUUCCUUUUUGAGACAGAGUUUCACUCUGGCGCCUGGUCACUGUGCCCUUCACCUUCUGGGUUCAAGUGAUUCUCCUGCCUCAGCCUCCGUAGCAGCUGGGAUUAUAGGCACGCACCAUCAUACCCAGCUACUUUUUGUAUUUUUAGUAGAGAUGGAGUUUCAUGAUGUUGGCCAGGCUGGUCUCGAACUCCUGACUUCAGGUGAUCCACCUGCCUCGGCCUCCUAAAGUGCUAGGAUUACAGGCAUGAGCCACCAUGCCCAGCCGGGAGUGUUCUUUCAGCAAAAAGUCUAAUUCAGAGACUCACCUUCCAUCCUGGCACUAAACAAUAGUACUAGAGGAAUGACUCGUGUACUUGAGUCAAAAUCCUCAUGGCAUUGGGAAAAGUAAACUGAAGGAAUUUUUGUAUACUUGUACCAGCUAAGAUGUUCUGACUGCAACGACAGAAAACUCCAACUCAACUGGCUUAAACAAGAACAGGGCUGUCUCACAUGAGAAGCCAAAAUUUAGAACAACUCCAGGCCCAAAAUGGUCAGGGCUCAAGCUGCAGUUCUCUUAGCUCAGUCUUCCUCGUACUGUGGGCUUUUAUUGGAGACUAGUUCUCCUCAUGGUGGCAAGAUGGCUGCAGGAGUUCAGGUAUCUCAUCCAGAAGCAAUAAAAGGGCAUGUCUUGCUUGCGUCUCUAGGCAUAAGGGAACUGGUCCAGAUGUCCCCGCCCCACAUCCCUUCAGAUCCCAAUUGGCCAGAAUAUGGCAUGUGCCCAUGUUUCAACCAAUCAUGGGCAAGGAGAUGGGACCAGCAUGAUUGGCCUAGGCCCCUGGAGCCUGGGGCUGGGCCCAGCAUCCCCUGAACACAUGGCCAUCUGGAGGAGAAGGUAACUGAAUUUCACUGGGGAUCUGUGAUAAAAGGGAGCAUGGGUGUUAGGGAGACACCUGUUCCACUUGAGUUUCCUGUGAGGUCCAGGACAGGGCUUGGUGGGCACUCGGAAGCCAGUGUCUGAAGUGCUCAGCCUCCUCCUCUUCCUCGGGUGGUGGGUGUCCACUGCCCAGGCCCCACCCCUGGCCUUGGACACUUCAUGGAAACACUGCUGGUUUGCUAUGGUGUUGGGUGGCUCCUGUCUAUUCCCCGUAAGUGCUGGCCUCUGUUGACACCAUUUCUGCCACCUCAUCUGAGAUUGCUCUCAUCAGCUCACAGAGAUUCAUUUCAGUGAAUGAACCAAAUCUAAGCUAAAAAGCACAAAAGAGGGCAGAAAGAAACAGCAGUGUGGGAGAAAGAGCGCAAACACCGAGAGAAAGUUGUCUACCUGGCAGCCAUGUCAGAGAAUCACCAGUAUGUAUGUCACUGCCACCAAGAACCUAGAGCCACAGAGGCCUACAGAAGCCAAUCCCAAUGGAACUCUCGCUGGGUGUGGGGCUUGAGAGAACCUAAAACAUUCAGCUGCACAGAGCCUUUUCCAGCGAUGGGAACCAGUCUCAAAGCCUUUGCAUCUCUCCCGUGCCCUCCCUCCAUCACUCUGCUGAGAACCCUGCCCCAGGCUGGCCUGCCUACAUGACACAAAUAGCAGUGGACUGCCACUCGUCAGUAUCUGCAGUUCUGCUUACCAAAGCCUGCUUGCUAGAGACUUUUUGGGGCCUCCUUCCCUCAAAGUGUCCAUUGUACCUCCAUCUGGACACAAUUAGCUGGCUCCCCACUUCCUGGACUGACAGUAACCACCUUUUCCAAUGACCCUGAAGAAAACAUGCAAUCUAAGCUGCUUUACAAGUAACCUAAAACUGAGGACAAAUUUUCUAUCAACUCCCAGUACCCCUCUCUGCUGUGGCUGAUUUGUUACUGGUUUUCCUUUUUUUUUAUUUGAAAAUGUAAAUAAGUAUACUAAGACCAGAUCACUCUGAGAUUGUUUUAUUCUAAUUUGUCCUAAGGACCUGCCUGUACUUAGAGCCUGAUACAAAGCCCAAGUUGAUCUACUGGGCAGCUCUCUGGGCCUGGAAGGAAGAGCACAAGACAAGACUUCAACAGUAAGCAUGGCUAGGUCCAGGCAGACCAUGAUUUCUGAAGGCAACAGCAUGGUCCACAUGGAAUCAGGCUGCUGAAGAACAGCAGCGAGAGGCUGCCUGUGAAUCACACCUAAGUGGGAGUAUCCACGCCUAGUCUCUACUUCUCACUGCAGGAGAGGUGGCAGAUGAGGAGGUUUCCUACUUUAAAGCAGGUAGAAGUUGUUUCCUUUCUUCCCUCCUCACAGCCUUGAGGGGGAGGUUGUGCCCAGCCUGACGGCAGCUGCCUUGCCCAAGAUUACAUCCUGUUCUGGGGGCAGCCCACCUCCAAACCAAGUCACUAGUGGGGUACAAAGUCCUGCCCUGUCUGCCAAAAGCACAGUGCUGAUGGACCAUUCCAGUUCUAGAGUUCCCAAGGAGACGUCUUUUUGGAGAGGGGCAGGGUACCAGAAAUCCUUCACUCAGGCUAUAGCAUGGCCUCCAGUUAUAAGUAACUUGAGGCCCACCCAGCCAAACAUGCCUUUCCGGGUCUAGUGCUGGGUUCCAGAACAGGAAGCCUGGCACAUUCCUAUUGCCACAGAUUCUUUUUACUAUUAUUAUUGUCACCUUAUUUUUCUUUUGGUGGAACCCCUCUAGGGCUUCCACCAGAUUCUCCACCAUUUAUGCUAUCAAUUUUAUCAGUUUUGGUUUAAUCGUUUCAGUGCUUCUUUUUGCUAACGGUAACAGCCAAUAUACAUCAUCUCUGGACACAGAUCACGCCAUAGAAAAUAUUGUCGUUUUCCUCAUUUUUCUUAACGCCACAGAGUCAGCUGGGCUGUAGUACCAGCCCGGAUGUACCAGUUUACUCAGCCACUCCCCCUCUCAUGGACAUCUGCAUGGUUUCCAGUCUUGCAAAUUCAUACAGUGCCACUACAAAUAAAACCUUGCACGUA